UCCUACGGGACGCAGCAGUGAGGAAUAUUGGUCAAUGGGCGGAAGCCUGAACCAGCCAAGUCGUGUGAGGGAAGAAGGCCCUGCGGGUCGCAGACCUCUUUGGACGGGGAGCAAGGCCGCCGACGUGUCGGCGGAAGGAGAGUACCCGUAGAACAAGCAUCGGCUAACUCCGUGCCAGCAGCCGCGGUAAUACGGAGGAUGCGAGCGUUAUCCGGAUUUAUUGGGUUUAAAGGGUGCGUAGGCGGACGCUUAAGUCAGCGGUAAAAUUGCGGGGCUCAACCUCGUCGAGCCGUUGAAACUGGGUG
This 305-nucleotide ribosomal RNA is filed under the name uncultured bacterium. Its description in RNAcentral is "bacterial SSU rRNA". It matches the Rfam family "Bacterial small subunit ribosomal RNA", at positions 337 to 639 of the family's 1533-position model. The record is from RNAcentral.